CCGGUACUGAGAAAGCUUUUCAGGCCUGAUUAGUCAUUUGAGAUAAGUGUAAUAAAUGUCAGAGAAACUAAUACAAAAAUAAACCACAGUAAAUAUGAGGCAUAGCUGCUCUCUAGUGGACUUGUGAAUAGUGUCAACAAUGUAAGUAAAAUUAACAUUCCCCAGAGGGUAAUCGUGUAGAUGCUUUGCUGAGAGAAAAAGAUGAAGAUUUCCUACAUAUUUGAGCUCAGCUGCUGCUUUGUUUUCUUGCUCUCUCUCACCUCUUUACGUAGCUGUCUUAUACUGGGAUUACAGAGAAGUGGCAGAAUGCAACAAUGACUCCUGCUCGAUGCUGUGAAAGUAUGCAGCAAUGCAGGGCAAGCUCAGUUGCUCUUCAGAAGUAAAAGAGUUGGUGCUCAGGGAAGCUGCCCUCUACCCCCUGAGCCCAGCAGCUUCAACGCAUGUGCUACCUGCACACAAGACCCUCCAGCUUUUUUUUCAAAAUUAUUCCCAAAAGACUGCAAAGUGACUAAGUAUUGCUACAACGCGUGAGCAAAGGAACUGCAAGUGGCAUAUGCCUCCUCCCUAGCCCUGCGGCAGCCGGCAGCCACGGCGGCGCGUUUCCUGCGAAGCGAGGACUGCAGUGAAGACCUAUCACUUACGCGGUGCGAUAGGUACAUGCAUGCCAUGGAUUGCAGGAAAGAGGGCCCACGAGGUCAAAUGGCCUAUCUCGUCGAUGGGCUCUGUCAGGUAGAAAUUCAACUGCUUUGUGGUGAAGCCUUUUUAUGAAUGACUUUUGAUUAAUACUUGUGAAGUUGGUGGGAGGGGGAAAUAGGAGGAGGCAGUGCUGAGUGUGGCCAGGAGCACUGCUGCUGCAAGGCUGCUGCUUGCUUCCCUCUUGGCAGAGGCACAACAGCAGCAACGGCGUACAAAGAGAUCUGCAAGUGCACAUGAAACGUAUGCGUUGGCGGUUUCCCCAGAUAGUCUUUGUUAGGACUGUCAG
Molecule: long non-coding RNA, 982 nt
Filed under: Apteryx rowi (Okarito brown kiwi)
Lineage: Eukaryota; Metazoa; Chordata; Aves; Apterygiformes; Apterygidae
Description: lncRNA (ENSARWG00000005390.1)
Source: RNAcentral